CCCUUAGAUGUUCUGGGCCGCACGCGCGCUACACUGAUGCAUUCAACGAGUCUAAAACCUGCUCUGAUAGGGGUGGGUAAUCUUUUGAAUGUGCAUCGUGAUUGGGAUAGAUGAUUGCAAUUUUUCAUCUUCAACGAGGAAUGCCUAGUAAACGCAAGUCAUCAGCUUGCAUUGAUUACGUCCCUGCCCUUUGUACACACCGCCCGUCGCUCCUACCGAUUGGGUGUGCUGGUGAAAUGUUCGGAUCGGCCGUUUGUCGCGGUUUCCGCGUCAUGUGGCUGAGAAGUUCAUUAAACCCUCCCACCUAGAGGAAGGAGAAGUCGUAACA
RNAcentral lists this ribosomal RNA (328 nucleotides) under uncultured eukaryote. RNAcentral describes it as "partial 18S ribosomal RNA". It matches the Rfam family "Eukaryotic small subunit ribosomal RNA", at positions 1470 to 1796 of the family's 1831-position model. The record is from RNAcentral.